CCUACGGGAGGCAGCAGUCGAGAAUCAUUCACAAUGGGGGAAACCCUGAUGGUGCGACGCCGCGUGGGGGAAUGAAGGUCUUCGGAUUGUAAACCCCUGUCAUGUGGGAGCAAAUUAAAAAGAUAGUACCACAAGAGGAAGAGACGGCUAACUCUGUACCAGCAGCCGCGGUAAUACAGAGGUCUCAAGCGUUGUUCGGAAUCACUGGGCGUAAAGCGUGCGUAGGCUGUUUCGUAAGUCGUGUGUGAAAGGCGCGGGCUCAACCCGCGGACGGCACAUGAUACUGGGAGACUAGAGUAAGGGAGGGGGAACCGGAAUUCUCGGUGUAGCAGUGAAAUGCGUAGAUAUCGAGAGGAACACUCGUGGCGAAGGCGGGUUCCUGGACAUUAACUGACGCUGAGGCACGAAGGCCAGGGGAGCGAAAGGGAUUAGAUACCCCAGUAGUC
RNAcentral lists this ribosomal RNA (446 nucleotides) under uncultured bacterium. RNAcentral's name for it is "partial 16S ribosomal RNA". It matches the Rfam family "Bacterial small subunit ribosomal RNA", at positions 338 to 795 of the family's 1533-position model. The record is from RNAcentral.